ACCUGGCUGACUCAGUGGGUGGGGCACAUGACUCUUGAUCUUGGGGUUGUGAGUUCAAGCCCCAUGUUGGGUA
Molecule: transfer RNA, 73 nt
Filed under: Ailuropoda melanoleuca (giant panda)
Lineage: Eukaryota; Metazoa; Chordata; Mammalia; Carnivora; Ursidae
Rfam family: tRNA
About the family: Transfer RNA (tRNA) molecules are approximately 80 nucleotides in length. Their secondary structure includes four short double-helical elements and three loops (D, anti-codon, and T loops).
Source: Rfam by way of RNAcentral